AUUCUCAAGAGAGAGAGAAAGUGGCCUUCCUAAUGAAUGGUAGAUCUGCCCCAAAGUGGCUUCUCUGUUGUUCGUAGGAGUGCAACAGUC
Molecule: small nucleolar RNA, 90 nt
Organism: Psammomys obesus (fat sand rat)
Lineage: Eukaryota; Metazoa; Chordata; Mammalia; Rodentia; Muridae
Product: small nucleolar RNA SNORA64/SNORA10 family
Exons: 1
Source: RefSeq, a predicted model, not a curated record